GAUGAACGCUGGCGGCGUGCCUAAUACAUGCAAGUCGAGCGAACGGACGAGAAGCUUGCUUCUCUGAUGUUAGCGGCGGACGGGUGAGUAACACGUGGAUAACCUACCUAUAGACGGGGAUAACUUAGGGAAACCGGAGCUAAUACCGGUAGAUAUUUCGAACCCCAGGGUUCAAAAGUGAAAUACGGUCUUUCUGUCACUUAUAGAUGGAUCCGCGCUGUAUUAGAUAGUUGGUAAGGUAACGGCUUACCAAGGCAACGAUGCAUAGCCGACCUGAGAGGGUGUUCGCCCACCCUGGAACUGGACCAGGCUCAGGACUCCUACGGGAGGCAGCAGUCGGCAACCUUCGGCAAUGGGCGAAAGCAUGCCGGAGCAACCCGGCGUGAGUGAUAACGGUCUCCGGAUCGUAAUGCCCUGUUAUUAGGGAGAAACAGAUGUGUAAGUAAAUGUGCACAUCUUGACGGUACCUAAUCAGAAAGCCACGGCUAACUACGUG
This 496-nucleotide ribosomal RNA is filed under the name uncultured bacterium. RNAcentral's name for it is "partial 16S ribosomal RNA". It matches the Rfam family "Bacterial small subunit ribosomal RNA", at positions 28 to 507 of the family's 1533-position model. The record is from RNAcentral.